UAGUUAAAUCUUCUGGCACACAGUUAAGUAAGAUUUAACUGUGUGCUAGGCUGGAUUAAGUGUUUAAAUAUUGACUAACUGUGUGCCAAGUUUAUUUAAAUAUAUGCCAUACUAUAUUACAUAUAUACCAAGCUUACUAACCUAACUGCCACUCACUAAUCAUUUUUCUUUUCUUCCUUUUUCUUUUCUUUUCUUCUUUUUCUUUCCUUCUCUUCUUUUUCUUUCCUUUUUUUCUUUUUUCUUUUUCUUUCCUUUUCUUCCUUUUCUUUCUUUCUUUUCUUUUCUUUUUCUUCUAUUCUUCUCCUCCCUUCUUAUUUAUUUAUUUUU
This 327-nucleotide long non-coding RNA is filed under the name Phoenix dactylifera (date palm). Its description in RNAcentral is "long non-coding RNA (PDAC_LNC022308)". The record is from RNAcentral. Lineage: Eukaryota; Viridiplantae; Streptophyta; Magnoliopsida; Arecales; Arecaceae.